Molecule: long non-coding RNA, 5136 nt
Organism: Numida meleagris (helmeted guineafowl)
Lineage: Eukaryota; Metazoa; Chordata; Aves; Galliformes; Numididae
Exons: 4
Source: RefSeq, a predicted model, not a curated record
ACCAGUCACUGACCAACUUCUGCCCGGAAAGCAUGCAUUUGAGACACAGAGCUCAUUACCUAGACCCAUCCCUCCCAGCAUAGGAACUUUAGUGGAGGAGGAUGGAUCCUCCCCCACCAAAGAAGCUUUGCCUUCUAGAGAGCAGCAGUGAGCCCAAGCCAAUGGACGUAGUAGCCAAUGGACCAGAGAGCAACGUCGAGCCCACGGAGAUGGACGUACCUCCAGAGGAUGAACCAAUGGAGGUGGAUCCACCUCCAUCAAGCCCGGGCAAGUACUAUAACAUCAUGCUUGCCUGGAGACGUCACUAUAUCUGCUGGUGGCGCAGCAGGAGCUCUCGAUUUCCAUCUCGGCAUUGAAGAGUCACCAUCCACCAGAGAGCCCCAGGGCCAGCUGCUGCUCUCUAGAACCCCUUCUUCCCCAUCCCCCAUCCCAAGACCUCUCACCUCUUCUUUCCCGAGCUCUGAGGAAAAGGGAAGAACAGAGACUAGUGUCCUCUAUGCUUCUGCACUGGGACAAUGGGAGGAGUCCAGUGGACAGCCACAAGCUCCUUGAAGCCUCCAGGUAAGGAGAUACGAUUGAAAGAUGGUGAGAUAGAGCACUAAGCCACCAAGCCUGAGUGCCUCCUGGUGAAACAGUUUUGGCAGAAGAAUGCUGAGGAAACUACUCACAGUCAGAAAGCUGAACCCAUCCUAUAAAGCACUAUCAGUGGUGUCAUUCAGCUCCUUAAACUCCACAAAGCAAAUCUGCCCUGUGCAGUGAAAGAUGGCACAGAGCAUCUGCUGCAGCAACUGACAGGAAACAUUGCAGCCUUAUGAGCAGAUAAGCUGCUGAUUACACCAAAAUUAACCUCCUUUUGGUCCUUCUCUGUCUCGAUGUCAGUGACUAACAAGGUAAAAUCCUAUGUUGCUUGUUAAAUACUAAGUUUUUAUUUUCCACAUUACAGUUUUACCCGCCCAAGUAUAUUUUUUGAGAUUUAAAACAGGGUUUUUGUGCAAUGUGUUUGUGUGCACAGAGAAUUAGCACUGAGAUGGAGUAAGAAGCAAAGUCAGAACAAUCAAAAAGCCAAAUUAAGAUGUUAAGUUGAAUAGACAAGAUCAUAUGACUUGUUUCUUUUUUUCCAGCUGACCAUAUCUCUCUCAGGCCAUCUUUGCAGAUUAGCACCUGGAAGGAGCAUCCUGAGGAAAAUGCAAACGAAGGCAGAAAGAAUAUACAAAAAUGAGUGACACCAAAAUCUAGAUGCAGUUCUGCAGCCCUUCUCUAGGUCCUCAAUGCGCAAUCUGCGUUUAGAGUUUGUAAGAGAAACAUCUCCAAGCAUCAGCAAUGUUAUUUCCAUGACCAGCUGAAGGCUUCUCAGCAGGUUAGGCAAAAUGGAUGUUUGCAGUGGCAACGGAGCAGAGUACUGCCUGGCACUGUACCUCCCCUUCCUGUGGCAUCUCAUGGGCUGACACAUACGCUGCCACUAGGUACCAUUAAGAGGAAGAGGUACCAAUAAACCCGUUGUAUUACAGGGAGGCACAGUGAAAGAAGACCAGAACGUUUUGCGCGUAAGCUUUUGGGAUGGAAAUAACAAGCCUGGCAGAAUUUUCAAAAGGAGGUGGAAACUGGAUUCCUAUCCCAAGAGGCUUUUGUCAAAUAGGUACUUUCAAAAAUCCCAUCAGACACUCAAUUUUAAUGUUAAAUGCCUGAACUCGGUCCAGAGACUGUCCCAUCUGUUUCUAUGAAAUCUGCACAAACGUCUGCAGUAGAUCAGGUACUAAGAAAACGCUUAAUAUGCACCACCAAGAAUGAAGCCUUGCUGAGUGAACAGCCUUACAAGCUUACAUUUUGGACUGAUUCUCCACUCCAUUUAUAAUCUUCAUACAGAAGAGAUGAGUAGGAAAAACUUUGUUUAGGCGCACACAAGUCUCAAAAUGAGCCCUAUUUCUGCUAAACUGUGCUGUUUGUACCCGUUGCUUGCCUACAGUCUUUACAGUCUAAGUAAAAUGCUCCAUGCUGAAAUAUUUUCCCUACUUCAUUUUAACUAACAGACCCCUUGCUCUCAUAUUAGAGAGCAAUGUUAAUUUGGGGAGGGGAUUAAUUUUCAUGUUAUCUUUCUUAAACACCUCACUUACAUACUCUCCCGACCUUUCUCUUUCCAAACUAAACAAUUCUCACUUUUGCACUCUAUCCUCAGAUGUAAACCCCACCCAGCCUUCUAACCAUCUCAUGACAUGCUUUUGGUGGACUUCCAAACCAAAGAGGUUUCCAAACUGAACCUCCAAAAUGUUUGAGGUUUCCCCAUCUCUGUAUAGUACUUUCCAAGAGCACACUCCCAUUGAUUCUGGAGGCAGCCUUGAAUCACAACUAACCAUAAUGCAGUCAGGAACAAGUCUGGCUACUUUUUAAUGAGGAAAUGUGCUCUUGGGAAGUAUCGUGCAGUGAUGGGCAAACCUCAAACACAUUGGUGGUUCUGCUCAUAAACCUCUUUGAUCUAGGAGUCGCACCCAAUGGCAAAAAAUUGAUGACCGUGCAUGCACAAAAGCAUGCCAGCCAUGACAGGAGAGAGCUAUUAUCAUGGUGGGCAGGCAGUGUAGUCCCCACUGUGCACCCAGGCCGCUGACUGGAGCAGUCCUAAGUUUUAACAAGAAAAAAAUUAAGAACAAUAAGAGGAAAAAUAACCCGAAAGUAUGCAAUUCAAGUUAACAGUCAUCCCUCUCCAUCCCAUAAACUCCCACUGCAGUCAUAUCUAGUAGAGCCAGUUCUAAUGUUGCUUUCAAAUUUGCAGCUGCAGAGAGCCCUGGCCAAGCCAGGUCCAAAUAAUAACGUAGCCUUUACUGCUCAUUGUCCCGCAGUGACAGAAAAACCAAGCUCUGCUGCGAUGCACCGCCCUUUUUGCUGUUAAUCGAAACUGGAAGACUUGAGCACUAGAAAUGCAAAUUUUGCUACUUGUGCAUGUCACAGUUGUCCUAUUGGGACAAGCACAUCUAAACAUGUUCGUAAUAGCCUCAGGUUCAGGACUAAUUUUUUAGUACAAACUGCAGAGCCUCAUGUCUUCUACAUCAAAGACCUGCAGUGUUAGAUACGUGGUAACCAAUACUGGAUAAACAGAGAACUCAAGCUAAGACACAGAAAACAAAGUGAGGAACCAAGCGCUGUUUGUACAUGCCUGUCUGUCCGUCUGCCUCUUCUCAAAGUCCUGCAGUUGGACACCGCUGUGAUUUUCCUUCCUGCUGUAUUUUAUUGUGCUACAAACAACUUCAAACUGAAAGAUAUUACCCAUCUCUUAGUCUUUUGUUAUACUAGACAACACCGGGCUCUGCUGGCUGGUUUUCCCCAGUCUUCUUGGCCCCUUUUUUACAUCUCUGUCCCCAGAUAAACUUAAGUGUAUUAGAUGCAUCUACCUGGGAGUUUCAGUGCAUUGUCAAAGCACUGUUAAGAGGUUAAAACAAAAUUGUCCCUUUUUUUCUUAAGAAGCCAAGAAAACAAAGCAUGGCAGUUCCAUUGUUAUGGAUUGUGCAGUAGUAUAGCAACAGCAUUAGAAGAGGUCAGAAUAGGGUCAAGUACCUGCACUCUCCAGAAAGGAGGAGAAGAGAGUUAGUCCUAAACCUGUUAGAAUGAUUCCGAGCAAGUGUGAGCAACCAUACUAUUGUGAAGUCCAACUGAGUAAUAUCUUAUUUCUAAUUUUAACAUUCAAGAGAGACUUUUAUUUGGCCUGGCUUGGCCAGAGAGCCAUUGGCAGUUGCCUAUGGCUCUAAUGCUAGUACACCAGGAAUUCAGGGUGGCAUCCUUUGUCUCGUCGCACCAAUGAGGAUGUGUUGUUUCUCAGCAAACUCUCACCUCCUUUCUGCCUCUGAAAGCCACUGACCAGGGACUCAUGGGCUAAGUUCCUGCGCUCUGUAGGCUCUUGUAACUUCAUAUUGUCUUCUCAUCCCUGUCACAUAGCUAGAGCAGGCAGUAACAAAACAGAAGUAACUGUACAUUACAGUUUUACCUCGGUUAGCUAUAGUAACCUUAACUCAGUAUCAGCAGUUGCCAUGAGGAUAUUGCUCUAGAAAGGCCUGGUGAGGAUAGGAAGCUAUACCUCCUGUUUGCAAACUUUUUAGGAGCUAGGAAGAUUUCCAGAGGCAACAGCCACUUAUCUGCCCCAGAUAAAAAGUUCGCAGUGCUUCAAUGGCAGAGCUCAGAUAAACAUCUCUAAACACAACCCAACCUUUUGAUCACGGGUGUUCAGAUAAGAUAACCCCAAGUGCAUUAGCGAGAUGAGACUGAAUCAGCCUUGAAAUUAGAGAUAUAAAAGACUGACCUAAUUUCUCCACUCUUAUCCCUCCGCCCCGCCUCCUGCCCAAAUGUUAAUCAAGUUAUAUAGUCUAAUGUUUCCCAGCACUUUAAUGUAUUUGUUUUAAAUAAAACAAACUCUUAAGAGGAUCCGCAGUCCUCUCUCUCCAGAUCUUUCAGAUUGCAUCUCAUGUGUUGCACUCUGUGCUUCCUCUUCCCUUUUAAGGCUGUCAUAUAUUUUAUCUCCUUCACACUUCCUUGUGUCCACACUCAACCAAAUUCUCCAGUACAUCCUUUCUUUUUAAUAAUUCCCCCUCCCAUCUUUUUUAUCUUCCUCAUUUGAUUAUUUUUAAGUCUGUUUAAUCCCUACCAACUCACUCGUAUCUUCCAUCCAAUUGGGACACACACAACUGUACAUAAUGCCCCAAGUUACAUGAUGCCAAUGCCGUCUUAGCAAAAACCACAAUUGUUUAUUUAAUAUCUGAUUUUCUGUCUCCCCGUUACUUACAGGUCACGUCUAAUAAUACUGCUUCCCAAAUCUCUGUCUGAUUAAGUACUUGUAUUUUCCUUUAGACAUAUUAGCUACAUUUUUCUAAACUGAAUCAUGUUUGUUUUCUUCUUAUUAUGGUACUAAUCUCUUGAGGCUUCUUUUGAACAAGUGGAUGGAAAGAGCUUUUUUUCCUUUAUUAUUGCACAAGAGGGUUUUAUGUCUGUGGAUGUGUCAUAAUAAAAUGGUUUUGGUACCAGCAAACCUAAUUCCCCUUGUUAUUAAACCAUAACACACUUCAGGACAACUUAGUCAUUGUGGAAUAACACCACGUAUACCUGGCAGGAAGUGCUGCAGUAAGAGAAAGUAGGCUGGAGAUAGACAGAGAGGAACGA